GAACGAACGCUGGCGGCGUGCCUAACACAUACAAGUCGAACGGGAUUGAGGGGCUUGCUCCUCAAUUUAGUGGCGCACGGGUGAGUAACGCGUAGAUAAUCUGCCUGACGAUCUGGGAUAACACUUCGAAAGAGGUGCUAAAUACCGGAUAAGCCCACGGGGUCUUUGGAUUCUGCGGGAAAAGGGGGGCCUUUUGGCCUUCUGUCGUCAGAUGAGUCUGCGUACCAUUAGCUAGUUGGUAGGGUAAUGGCCUACCAAGGCUACGAUGGUUAGCUGGUCUGGGAGGAUGAUCAGCCACACUGGAACUGAGACACGGUCCAGACUCCUACGGGAGCAGCAGUGGGAAUUUGCGCAAGU
This 357-nucleotide ribosomal RNA is filed under the name uncultured soil bacterium. RNAcentral describes it as "bacterial SSU rRNA". It matches the Rfam family "Bacterial small subunit ribosomal RNA", at positions 27 to 373 of the family's 1533-position model. The record is from RNAcentral.